CCUUGGCAUCGAGUCCUCCAGCUCCACCAACCGGUGCUCCUGCUCCAAGUUUGGGUGCUUCUUCUCCUGGACCCGUGGGAACCGAUACGAGCGGAGCGGAGAAGAUGUGGUCAUUGCAGAAGGUGGUCGUGAGCGUGGCCCUUGGAUCAGCUUUCUGGUUGCUGCUCUAGACAUGUCAUCUCUUUGUCUCAGUUCUUCGUCUUCCUCCUCCUAUUGUUGUUAUUAUUAUUAUUAUUAUUAUUUCCAGCGGUCGUCGUCUACAUAUAUUAUUUUGCUGCCAUUUUAGCCCCUGCACGGUGAUGAGCCAUUUAAUCACCUGUGCUGAGCUACAUGUUACACAUUCGGUUGGAUUCUUUGGGUAGAUUUUUUGAGGGAAGCUUUUGCAUCGGAGGGGAGUUAUUUUGUAUCUGGGAUCGUUGGUAGUCUCCUCCUUCACUCAUUUAAAUUUCCCUAAUUAGUAUUCGCCUAUUCAUUUAUUUUUCAUUUC
This is a long non-coding RNA of Populus euphratica (Euphrates poplar), 487 nucleotides long. RefSeq lists it as uncharacterized. The transcript has 2 exons. Lineage: Eukaryota; Viridiplantae; Streptophyta; Magnoliopsida; Malpighiales; Salicaceae. The record is from RefSeq and is a predicted model, not a curated record.